UGGGGAAUAUUGGACAAUGGGCGAAAGCCUGAUCCAGCCAUGCCGCGUGUGUGAAGAAGGUCUUCGGAUUGUAAAGCACUUUAAGUUGGGAGGAAGGGCAUUAACCUAAUACGUUAGUGUUUUGACGUUACCGACAGAAUAAGCACCGGCUAACUCUGUGCCAGCAGCCGCGGUAAUACAGAGGGUGCAAGCGUUAAUCGGAAUUACUGGGCGUAAAGCGCGCGUAGGUGGUUUGUUAAGUUGGAUGUGAAAUCCCCGGGCUGAACCUGGGAACUGCAUUGAAAACUGACUGACUAGAGUAUGGUAGAGGGUGGUGGAAUUUCCUGUGUAGCGGUGAAAUGCGUAGAUAUAGGAAGGAACACCAGUGGCGAAGGCGACCACCUGGACUAAUACUGACACUGAGGUGCGAAAGCGUGGGGAGCAAACA
This 427-nucleotide ribosomal RNA is filed under the name uncultured bacterium. Its description in RNAcentral is "partial 16S ribosomal RNA". It matches the Rfam family "Bacterial small subunit ribosomal RNA", at positions 355 to 774 of the family's 1533-position model. The record is from RNAcentral.